CAUUUGAAGUCGCUUUCGAAAUUCGUAAGCCUUCGUCGGGACGCAAUCGCACUUCACAUCCGCACUUCGGAGUCCAUGCACUUGGGUUCGCUGCAUGAGCACUGCAUUCAGAUCAGUUCUCUGACGGGUAACGUUAUACCGUAAUACGCAGUUUAUGCGCGACCCGCGAAAUAACGUGGCGGGCAUAAUAGAUCGAUGGCGGUCUUUUACUGAUACAAGCGUCGGAGCUUCCGUGAUGAGCAAAACUUCCAAUGUAUAAUCAGGAUGUGUAAGAAUGACUACUUCCUUUACAUACUAGUGCUGAUGUGUCUAAAACACAGAGGCGUUAACUGAAACUGAAUAUAUCUUGGAAAUCCCCAGCAUCAGAAGAUGAGAUCUGGGAGUUUUACCUGCAAACACAUGUCAGAUUGCUGUGUGAUUCAUCUG
Carassius gibelio (silver crucian carp) is the source of this 426-nucleotide long non-coding RNA. RefSeq lists it as uncharacterized. The record is from RefSeq and is a predicted model, not a curated record. NCBI's taxonomy places the organism in Eukaryota, Metazoa, Chordata, Actinopteri, Cypriniformes, Cyprinidae. The transcript has 3 exons.